This 253-nucleotide ribosomal RNA is filed under the name uncultured bacterium. Its description in RNAcentral is "partial 16S ribosomal RNA". It matches the Rfam family "Bacterial small subunit ribosomal RNA", at positions 524 to 776 of the family's 1533-position model. The record is from RNAcentral.
UACAGAGGGGGCAAGCGUUGUUCGGAAUUACUGGGCGUAAAGGGCGCGUAGGCGGCCUGUUAAGUCGAACGUGAAAUCCCCGGGCUCAACCCGGGAACUGCGUCCGAUACUGGCAGGCUUGAAUCCGGGAGAGGGAUGCGGAAUUCCAGGUGUAGCGGUGAAAUGCGUAGAUAUCUGGAGGAACACCGGUGGCGAAGGCGGCUCACUGGCCCGAUACUGACGCUGAGGCACGAAAGCGUGGGGAGCAAACAGG